GGGGCUGAGGCUCCGGGAUCUCGCCCAAUUUGGAAAAGGUUGGAAUUUGGCCAUCAAGGGAUAGGAGCCCUAACCACUGGGCCACCAAGGAAUUCCCCACAAUGCCUUCUAAAGUUCUGCAUGAAGAAGCAUCCUGUUUACCAAAUGUUUACUGGACAGAGAAAAAGAAAGAGGUUCUUAGAGACCUUUUCUCCACAAGAAAGGCCUCCAAUGCUAGGAAUGGUUUACUGAAGGGCCAACCAAAGAGAACAGGCAGCUUUUGCUUAAAAAACCUGAACUUGAAGAUACCAUUAUUAGCUCCAUUUUGCGGGUUUGGAAUCUAAGCUGAGAGAUGUUGGUUGGGGUGUGAAUCCAGGUUGUCUGGACUCCAGAAUGUGAGCGCUUAAUGUCACUCUCUGAAAGCCAUGGUUUCAGACUGCCCUGGUGAUCACGUGGUUAAGAAUCUGCCUGCCAAGGCAGAGGACAUGGGUUCCAUCCCUGAUCCCCCAUGCAGAGGAGCAACUAAGCCCAUACACUGCAGCUACUGAAGCCCGUGAGCCCUAGAGCCUCUGUUCCACAACAAGAGAAGCCGCCAAGAUGAGAAGCCAGCACACCACAACUAGAGAGUGGCCCCUGCUCACUGCAACCAGAGAAAGCCUGAGUGCAGCAACAGAGACUCAGAACAGCCAAAAAUAAACAAAUACUUUUUUAAAGGUAUAGUUAUACAACAUAGUAAAUCAACUAUACUUCGAUAAAAAGUUAAAUAAAAAAAUAAAAGGUGUAUUUCACAGUGAAGGGGCUUAAUUUCUUCUGUGUUAAAAACAAAGAUCCAUUCAAUAAAAUAUUUAGUAAUACAAGAACAAGAAAAACAAUUUUAUUGGAAAUAUUCUAACACGUUUUCUGAACAAAUAAUCAAAAAAUAAAUAAGGACAUAAAAAGAUAGGAACAUAUGAAAUUUUGACCUUGAAAACAAAUAGU
Molecule: long non-coding RNA, 957 nt
Organism: Bos taurus (domestic cattle)
Lineage: Eukaryota; Metazoa; Chordata; Mammalia; Artiodactyla; Bovidae
Source: Ensembl